RNAcentral lists this ribosomal RNA (268 nucleotides) under uncultured bacterium. RNAcentral's name for it is "partial 16S ribosomal RNA". It matches the Rfam family "Bacterial small subunit ribosomal RNA", at positions 338 to 622 of the family's 1533-position model. The record is from RNAcentral.
CCUACGGGAGGCAGCAGUGGGGGAUAUUGCACAAUGGGGGGAACCCUGAUGCAGCGACGCCGCGUGGGUGAAGAAGUAUUUCGGUAUGUAAAGCCCUAUCGGCAGGGAAGAAAUUGGACGGUACCUGACUAAGAAGCCCUGGCUAACUACGUGCCAGCAGCCGCGGUAAUACGUAGGGGGCAAGCGUUAUCCGGAUUUACUGGGUGUAAAGGGAGCGUAGACGGCGGUGCAAGCCAGAUGUGAAAGCCUGGGGCUCAACCCCGGGACU